Molecule: small nuclear RNA, 169 nt
Organism: Heterocephalus glaber (naked mole-rat)
Lineage: Eukaryota; Metazoa; Chordata; Mammalia; Rodentia; Bathyergidae
Gene: U2
Rfam family: U2 spliceosomal RNA
About the family: U2 is a small nuclear RNA (snRNA) component of the spliceosome (involved in pre-mRNA splicing). Complementary binding between U2 snRNA (in an area lying towards the 5' end but 3' to hairpin I) and the branchpoint sequence (BPS) of the intron results the bulging out of an unpaired adenosine, on the BPS, which initiates a nucleophilic attack at the intronic 5' splice site, thus starting the first of two transesterification reactions that mediate splicing.
Source: Ensembl
AUCGCUUCUCGGCCUUUUGGCUAAGAUCAAGUGCAGAAUGCAGGUGAUACAAUCUAGAAAAGUGAUCUGGCUCUUAUUUGAAUUAUAAUUAUAACAAAUAUUUAUAUCAGAAGAAUUUUUAUAAUUCAUCUCAGCUUCUCCUCACAAAAGGCCCAAGAAGAAAGCAUUU